RNAcentral lists this ribosomal RNA (492 nucleotides) under uncultured bacterium. Its description in RNAcentral is "partial 16S ribosomal RNA". It matches the Rfam family "Bacterial small subunit ribosomal RNA", at positions 30 to 507 of the family's 1533-position model. The record is from RNAcentral.
AUUGAACGCUGGCGGUAGGCCUAACACAUGCAAGUCGAACGGCAGCACAGAAAAAGCUUGCUCUUAGGGGUGGCGAGUGGCAGACGUGUGAGGAAUACAUCGGAAUCGACUUUUUCGUGGGGGAAAAAGUGGGGAAACUUACGCUAAUACCGUAUACGACCUACGGGUAAAAGCAGGGGCUCUUCGCAUCUUGCGCUAGUGAAUGACCCGAUGUCGGAUUAGCUAGUUGGCGGGGUAAAGGCCCACCAAGGCGACUAUCCGUAGCUGGUCUGAGAGGAUGAUCAGCCACACUGGAACUGAGACACGGUCCAGACUCCUACGGGAGGCAGCAGUGGGGAAUAUUGGACAAUGGGCGCAAGCCUGAUCCAGCCAUACCGCGUGGGUGAAGAAGGCCUUCGGGUUGUAAAGCCCUUUUGUUGGGCAAGAAAAGCAGCAGGUUAAUACCCUGCUCCAUUGACGUUACCCAAAGAAUAAGCACCGGCUAACUCCGUG